Long non-coding RNA from Leptidea sinapis, 792 nucleotides. RefSeq lists it as uncharacterized. Lineage: Eukaryota; Metazoa; Arthropoda; Insecta; Lepidoptera; Pieridae. The transcript is spliced from 5 exons. The record is from RefSeq and is a predicted model, not a curated record.
CAAUGUAGAACAAGAACUAUAAGCAAUAGAAAAAUAAUUUGCAAUAAACCUUAUUGAGCAAUACGUUAUAUGUACAAUGUUAUUGUUAGUUCAUCUGUUGAAUUUGGUUGUUAUUACAAAUUGUAUUCUAGGUGGCUACGAUAUAAAUAUAGUCGCAGCACCUUACCAAGUCAACUUCGGAGAUAUUUGUGGUGGAGUAAUUAUUGCUGAUCAUUGGAUACUAACCAGUGCACACUGCAAAUCAGAUUUUAUACGAACUGGAAGCAAGUAUAGAUUAAAGGGACGAAAAAUUUACAUUAAGUCUAGAUUCAUUCAUCCACUGUACAGACAAGAACAUUUUUUUGACUAUGAUGUACAGUUGCUGGAGCUAGAAGAAAGACUGAAGUUUGGGAGGACUGUAUCAGCGAUAGCGAUCAGUGAUGGAAGUUGUGGUGAUGAUGUAUUCGUUAAUGGAUGGGGAUUUUCUAAGGAAAAGGGUCACUAUGAAGAUAUUUUGAAACAAGUAAACAUCCAAAUAGUGUCUUUGAACGAAUGCCAAAAAGUUCCGAAUUUUUGGUAUAAUCACACACUGACUCCAAGAAUGUUCUGUGCUGGUGAUUCCGAGGGUGAUGCUUGCCAGGGCGACAGUGGUGGAGGUGCCGUGUCGUACAGACAUCUCGUUGGGAUCUCCUCGUUUGGAUUCGGUUGCGGAAGAAUGCCUGGUGUUUAUAUCAAUGUAUCCAGCCCAAACAUACAACUAUGGAUUCGAAGAUAUACAGGAAUAUGAUAUAUAGACUUGUAAUAAUAUCUGUA